RNAcentral lists this ribosomal RNA (253 nucleotides) under uncultured bacterium. RNAcentral's name for it is "partial 16S ribosomal RNA". It matches the Rfam family "Bacterial small subunit ribosomal RNA", at positions 524 to 776 of the family's 1533-position model. The record is from RNAcentral.
GACGGAGGGGGCAAGCGUUGUCCGGACUCACUGGGCGUAAAGGGUGCGUAGGCGGCCGGGUAAGUCUGAUGUGAAAUCUCACAGCUUAACUGUGAAACUGCAUUGGAUACUAUCCGGCUCGAGGAAUGGAGGGGAGACUGGAAUACUUGGUGUAGCAGUGAAAUGCGUAGAUAUCAAGUGGAACACCAGUGGCGAAGGCGAGUCUCUGGACAUUUCCUGACGCUGAGGCACGAAAGCCAGGGGAGCAAACGGG